RNAcentral lists this long non-coding RNA (273 nucleotides) under Monodon monoceros (narwhal). RNAcentral's name for it is "lncRNA (ENSMMNG00015007682.1)". The record is from RNAcentral. Lineage: Eukaryota; Metazoa; Chordata; Mammalia; Artiodactyla; Monodontidae.
UGCAGAGCGCUUUAUGAUGAAACUGAGUUGCAGAGAGGAUAGGUUACGUGUUCAAUGUCACACGACUGUAAAUGGCGGCUCUGAAACUCAAACCCAACAAGAUGGCUGAAGCUUUCACAGUCACCUUAGACCAUGAGGACAAGGAUAUACUCAAAGAGCUGAUAGAAGAAAAAGCUGGAAGAAGCCUGGAUUCCUGAUUUCAGAGACCUGCCCUCACAAGCACUGGACUACCUACCUCCAGAUAGGUGAGAAAAUAAGACCUGUGUGUUCAGU